GCCUGUGUGUCAGCACAGUCAGGCGAGAAGGGAUCAGAUGCGCACACUUCCCAUAUGAGGUUGACCUUUCUCUGGAGGGAGAGCAAUGGACAUGUUCAUGUUUAAGAUGUUUAACAGCACUAGUCAAUAACGGAGAAUCCAUAUCCUUCUCCAGUCAUAGGGUAUAGGGAGUCUGGAAUCAGGAAGAGAAAGGCUUGAAACUUCCCAUCCACAGAGCGCUUUCUCAUCUGGUCACCCCAGAACUCAGCUGGACUCAUCUUCAGGAGGUUGGUGCAGUUACUUCACACUACCAAGAAGAUGAAGCUCUGAGGGGAAGACGGCGUAUUCAGGAAAUAUCAGCCACCUAGUAAGUGGCAGAUCUUGAAGCUACGCCCCUAUGGGCAGAGUGUGAGGAAAGUUCUAGAGAGGGAAGCACCGAGAACCUGGCUGUGACGCUGCUAGAUUUCACCAAGCCCCUCUAUUUCCUGUUGGCUGGACCAGACUACACGGUCUUGGAAAGAUUUCACUGCUUCACACCAAAGAACAUAUCCCGCUAUCACUGAAUUCAGGAGAAAUCACUUGGUUAAAUUGAUGUGAAACUGCCUUAGGACAAUUCCGAUGCUGUUGUGGAAAAUGCAGUGAAGGUCUCCAACAGGACGCUGCUUGUCUGGGCACCCCCGAGUCUCCACCCGGGGCCAGCAGAUGCCAGCCAGGAGUGGGCGCUGGAUCACAGGCUUGCGGGGACCAGCACCCCCUUUGCCUUUGGGUCACUAAAGCUACAAAGACACUCUCUGUUUUAGAAGUCGUCUUACAGAAAGGAAUAAAGUGCUAUUUCUUGGGCUUUCUGACCUUAUCUUCUUUUAAAGAACUUCGUUUUCUCAUGCAAGAGCCAGAGCUGAUAUACAUGGUUGAUACAGUAUAAACUGCAGCCAAGGGAAGCUGUGCGGAGGAGUCAGGAGACUGCUGGAAGUGCAAGUAUAUGAAUUAGUUAAUUUUCUUAGUGAAAGAGCUAGCAAGCAGGCAGGACAUUUUUUUCUUUCUUUUUUUUUUUUUAAAUCUGACAUUCAACCAGGUUUUCUAAAUUGCAUGAUUGGCUGUAUACACUUCUCAUUUGUAAGCAAUCCUAGCUUCUGGGCUACCAUAGAAGAGGGUCAGUUUCCAUAGAAAAUUAAGAAGUUGGGAACAGUAAGGAGUUUGAAAAAGGAGCAUCGCUCCCCGCCCA
Molecule: long non-coding RNA, 1201 nt
Organism: Canis lupus familiaris (dog)
Lineage: Eukaryota; Metazoa; Chordata; Mammalia; Carnivora; Canidae
Exons: 3
Source: RefSeq, a predicted model, not a curated record